GAUGAACGCUAGCGGCAGGCUUAAUACAUGCAAGUCGAGGGGCAGCACAGUGUAGCAAUCCACGGGCGUCAACCGUCAAACGGGUGCGGAACACGUCCGCAACCUACCCAGAACUGAUGAAUAGCCCUCCGAAAGGGGGAUUAAUACAUCGUAACUUAAGGAAGCGGCAUCGCUUUAUUAAUAUGGCCCCGGCGGUUUGGGAGUGGCGUGCGCCUGAUUAGGUAGAGGGCGGGGUAAGGGCCCACCAAGCCUGCGAUCAGUAACUGGUGUGAGAGCACGACCAGUCACACGGGCACUGAGACACGGGCCCGACUCCUACGGGAGGCAGCAGUAAGGAAUAUUGGUCAAUGGACGCAAGGCUGAACCAGCCAUGCCGCGUGAAGGAUGAAGGUCCUCUGGAUUGUAAACUUCUUUUGAAUGGGAAGAAACCUCUUUUUCUUGAGAGACUGACGGUACCAUUAGAAUAAGCACCGGCUAACUCCGUG
RNAcentral lists this ribosomal RNA (485 nucleotides) under uncultured bacterium. Its description in RNAcentral is "partial 16S ribosomal RNA". It matches the Rfam family "Bacterial small subunit ribosomal RNA", at positions 28 to 507 of the family's 1533-position model. The record is from RNAcentral.